AUUCUGUUGGGUGCUAAAUACUGCAAAUUAGAGCAUGCAUUUCCUAUAAAUGUUCAACAGUUUCAGAUUGGCCAUGAUUUGCCUUUAUUUUGACUGCUACCAGCCAGGACUGGACAGCACACAGACACUUCUUCCAUUUGAUCUGCAAACUCAGAUGCAACAACUACUUUGUUGGAGGGACAACAUGACCAAGUCUUUCUCACCCAACAGCUGACUGAAGGACCCAGCAAGCUGCUCCUGGAUGCAGUGGAAGGUUGGAUUGCUUCAGCAGCCCUGACCUGCCCCCAGCAUGGUGAUGCUUGGAAGGAAAUCCUACAACCUGAGCACACACCCAGCUUCUUGCAGUCAUGCUGUCCUGCAUAAAGGCAACAGAUACCAUGAUCCAAACCAGGCUGUUGGGCCAAGAUAAAAGGUACCUGCUUCUAAUUCCUUUGCUGACAACAUGGCUGGGCUCAUUGUGGUGGAGAAACCAACCCUACACGACGUGGGAAGAAGGCAAAGGAGAAUACCCUGGUUUUCAGGGAGUGGUUUCCACUGUGUUCCAUCCAGACGUGCAACCAUCCCCUACAACUCUCUGCUCUGAUCUCAUCCUGGAGCCGGCUACAGGGGGCUGCCUGUGACACCAAGCAGGGCUGAAAAGGUGUUUCUGCAUUCUGGGUGAUGUUUAGACAUUCACACUUGUAAGAAUAAUAUUAUUUCUCCAAAAAAUCUUUGAGUGUGUUGGAGAUUAGUUUGGGUUUUGUGAUAUGCUAAAAGUUGGAAAGCAAUAAAGACUUUUUAUUGUGUAAAGUCA
Zonotrichia albicollis (white-throated sparrow) is the source of this 793-nucleotide long non-coding RNA. The record is from Ensembl. NCBI's taxonomy places the organism in Eukaryota, Metazoa, Chordata, Aves, Passeriformes, Passerellidae.